AUGGCCGGGGUAGAGCUCGCGCGCGCCAACGCGUCCUGCUCGCCGAGCUCCGCCCGACCUGCGUGCCCGUGCCCGCCACCGCCACCAUCUUCGGCUUAUCCCCACGGAGCGCAAGAAACGUCGUCGCCAGCCUCUGCGUCUACGCCGCCAUCUGCCGCAAGGAGGGCCUCAUGCUGCGCUGGCCAGGACCCCGUGUCGCCUGGGAGGGCUUCAGCGACGCCUCCGAUGCGGAGCUCGUCGCCGAGCACGCACUCUGGGCGCCAUGGAGCCCAAUGGCAAGAACAAACCCUUCAACGGCAGCAACGGGGACCUCUUCAAGUGGUAGCAGCUAUGGCCUAUCCUCGCCAAUCAAUGCAGCGUGAAGUGGACGGGGUACCAGGGGGAGGACCAGCGCUUCAUGCUGGAGGAAGCCAUGGUCGGGAAGGAUGCGGCGGGCAGGCGAAGCGCGCGCGAGCACGAGAGGGCACGGGAAGCUGCGUGCGAGCGGGCAUGGGAAGCUGCGGGCGAGCGUUCACGGGAAGCGGGCGAGCGGGCACGAGCAUGCUCCCGGGCGUCACCUGCAGCGCCUGGAGGCAGAUGGAGCUUGGCAACUGGCGGAGGAGCUUGUCGCCUGGAGCGCCCACAGGCUGUUCGUCAAAAUGA
Molecule: ribosomal RNA, 642 nt
Filed under: Triticum aestivum (bread wheat)
Lineage: Eukaryota; Viridiplantae; Streptophyta; Magnoliopsida; Poales; Poaceae
Description: partial small subunit ribosomal RNA
Source: RNAcentral